RNAcentral lists this ribosomal RNA (315 nucleotides) under uncultured bacterium. Its description in RNAcentral is "bacterial SSU rRNA". It matches the Rfam family "Bacterial small subunit ribosomal RNA", at positions 490 to 793 of the family's 1533-position model. The record is from RNAcentral.
GCACCGGCUAACUCCGUGCCAGCAGCCGCGGUAAUACGGAGGGUGUGAGCGUUAAUCGGAAUUACUGGGCGUAAAGCGCAUGCAGGCGGCCUGUUAAGUCAGAUGUGAAAGACCCGGGGCGUUAACCUCGGAAUUGCAUUUGAAACUAGGCAGGCGUAGAGUCUUGUAGGAGGGGGGGUAGGAAUUUACUAGGUGUAGCGGUGAAAUAGCGUAGAGAUCUGAAGGAAUAACCAGUGGCGAAGGCGGCCCCCUGGACAAAGACUGACGCUCAGAUGCGAAAGCGUGGGGAGCAAACAGGAUUAGAUACCCUGGUAG